GAGAUGGUAAUAAACCAUGCCUGCAUCCAGGGGGUGGGGAAGAAGGAAAAAAGAUUGCAAUUUCAGAAGUUACAUGCUUCCAAAUCCAUUCAACCUAAAGUUUCACUAUAUAAAUAUACUACAGUCACCUUCUUAGCCCUCCGAUCCACAUUAGAAUUAGGCCCCCCUAUUGAAGAUGUUUCUAACUCCUCUUCUGGUAUAAGCUCCAUUUCCUCACAAAAUGAAAUAAAUUCCUAGAGUGUGGCCAGAUGAAUAAUAUUCAGUAUUACACAAGACAAAAGUAGCUUUAUCAAACGUAUGCAUCAGCAAACACAUAAACUUAAUAAAUUCCAAAGCCUAACACUCUACUUUUGAGUUUGGGUAGAAAAGAAAACAGGAUAAAGUUAAAAUAAAGAAGACAAAGAGGGGAAGAGAUAGUAACUUUCGUCGUUUUUUAGAGUUGAGAGAAAGUGGACAUGGAAGGAAUAAAAUUUUUAGUGUUUGUUAUUUUAAGGGUAGAAGGGGGAUAAUGAAUUUAUUUUAAAGAGUUAAGAUAGCUUUCCACCCAAAUCUUCCCAAUUUUAAGUGGAAAAUUUUGGGUAGAAAGUUGAAGUUAUUUUCCACCAAUUUCUCCUCACUUUAUCUCCGUAAAAAACCUCACAGAUGAGACAUUUGGAAGGAAAUUUUUUAAAAUUCAAUCCUUCCUUUCUUAUCCACCCUUUUAAAACUCACAAGAACAAUGUAAAGGCUGUUACGCUAUAUUACAAUUGCUUCUUUAUGUGCUUCGGGCACAAAACAACAUUCAUCUUUUGACUUUUUUAUUUUAUUUUAUCUUUUGUAAAUGAAUAUCACCUUUAGAUUUGCUAUCGAAGCUUUAAGAAUUUGUAAUCUGUCAUCUAGUGCAGUUUUCUCAGUCAAGUCAGCAAGAAAAUAUGGCACCUGUACCAAAAAAUCAUGAGUAAAUCCCAGUAUAUAUUACAAUCUUCAUAAAACCAGACUGUCUGGAAAUAAUUGUCAUAAAUACCCAGAACAACUCAAACCCAUAUCAGUGUGGUAAAAUUACAUUGCAGCUUGAGAGAGCAGAACAAAAAAAAGGAAGAAAAAGCAGAACGUCAAAAUUAUAGGCACACAAAGUAAUCAUAAAAUCAACAAACGGAUGUUUAACCACAAAUAGAAGCUUGAUAUGGUGCUGAUAAAACCUGACAUGUAAAAUGAAGAGAGUACACAAUCAUAAUUCAUACUAAUCUCACUCGAUUUAAAAAUUUUCAGAUAGGUAAUAAACUAGUAUAGGGAAAAUAAAACCCAUCACACUACCUCUAAACAGGAUUAUGGUUCUUCUCAUAAAUAAAUCUUGACAUAACUAAAAAGGAAACUGGAAGUCAAACGAAUUGAAUGUCUGUUAUGUUUUUUUUAAAUUAAAGAUUUGACAGUUAGACAUGGUAACCGACAUUAAAAACCAAUUUUUCCUCCUUUUAGAUGCUAAGAAAAUACAUAGGAGAUCAGUUUUGGUUUUCACUUUAGAUUGCCAGUGUUGGGUACAAGACAGGAAAAGGACAUCACUGAGCUAAGCCUAAUACAACUAAAGGCUGCAAUUCAACUUGACUUUCCCAUUAUUGCCAAUAUGUUCCAUGAAACAAAGAAUAGUGAAAUUUGUAUGCAAUAACUACUAAAAUUGAGAUAUGCCAGUUUUAGCAAUCCUGGUCAUUAGUGAUGAGGGAAAUAUAAUAGAAAAUGUUAAUUUUUCGUUUCUAUUUCUAUUUCUCUGAAAUUUUUCUAAGCAAACACACCAUAAAUUGAAAAUUUAAAGUUGAUACUAAGAAACAAAGAAGAGCAUAGAAAUACGAGAUUUGUAGUGCUAAUAUCAUCUUUGGACUCGUUGGCCGAAGAAAUGAAAUGAAUUUAUAGAAUAAAUUCAAAUGAAGAGAUCAGAAAUCAUCAUCCCAGCCUCACAUAAUAUUUAAGGGGAAAAAACAUCAUAAAAUAAAGAAUAUCAGCACAAAUUCCAUCAUAUUCCAAAAUUUCACAUCAUCACAAUGUCUGCGGUUUUGUGUUUUUAGUACUUAUAACUCUGCUGCAAUAAAGGGGCUAAGCGUUGAACCCCAAACAAGUCGAUAAGAUAUAGCAGUACAAGAAGUAUCUGCUAAAAAUAAAUAUUAAAGUAAAGACGAGGAAAAAAUUAGCAAGUCCUGCUGCUCUGGAAGCUUAACAGGACUCGUGCCUAAAUCAACAAAAACAUGUGGAAGAUGGAACUUCAGUGAGCAGAAUGCCAUUCCAGUGACAACAAUUCAGAAGGAAAUUUUCACUAUUUCAACUAUGUAGUUUUAGUAAUAAGGAGUAAAAGAAGAAACUUUGACACCCUUGGCAAGUAAACUUUUAUCUCGUCUGUCAUAUACUAAAGUUCUUAUUUAUAAGAGAUCAAACCUCGGAUUAAAUGAAAUUUUUUGUAUCCGUCCACUCUUUCAUGGCCUGUUUUUAGCAGACUCCAUCUCCAGCAAUUCUGCAAAGUGAAAGAGAAAAUGCACCGCAACGUCAGACAAGAGGAAAGCAUGACAAGUAAGGAUCCAGACUUUGUGACUCAAACUAGGAAAGACGGCAGCCUUAAAACAGAUAAUUGGUUGUGUUUCAGAGCAUCUCAGGCUGAUUUCUAGUGCCCAUGAGAGAUUUUGGUGUACUAACCAUAAUGUAGCUUGCAGCUGUUUCAGAGCAUCUCAUGCUUGCAUCUUAAUAAUUAUUAUGGGUCAUCAAAAAACACUUAUUCCCAAUACCAGACUGGGACCAAAUGAUCUGAUCAUGUCAGAUAACUACAGGAAUAGAAGAAAUGAGUGUCGAUCCGCUAUCCUUAAAAAGCACCAAGAAACUUGCCAGCACAAGUAUUUUGUAAGAGAAACUGCUCUAUUACAUCUUCAUUCUGAGCAACUGUUAAACUACACCAUCAAAAGGUGAAAGAAAAAGAGGAUUUAAAUUUUCUUAACCUACCUAGAAACUCUAUAACUUCAGAACGAACACCUGCAAGUGUUGUACACAAGGAUCCUCCAACUUUUAGCAAUUUGAAAGCAUUUGUUAGUAGUAGUAACU
Molecule: long non-coding RNA, 3054 nt
Filed under: Panax ginseng (ginseng)
Lineage: Eukaryota; Viridiplantae; Streptophyta; Magnoliopsida; Apiales; Araliaceae
Description: long non-coding RNA (PGIN_LNC005907)
Source: RNAcentral